ACCGGCUGCAUGCAAAGCCAGACCUCCGGGGACCUCUGGGCCAGACUACAUCUACAAACAGAGCUGCGCUGACUUAAUCUUCGGUUGGCUAAACUUCUUCUUCAAGAUCAUCAUGGCGUUCUUCUUUGGAUUAGCCGUGACCGCACUGUUCGGCCUGCUGGUCUCCCUCCUGAU
Notolabrus celidotus (New Zealand spotty) is the source of this 174-nucleotide long non-coding RNA. RefSeq lists it as uncharacterized. The transcript has 4 exons. Lineage: Eukaryota; Metazoa; Chordata; Actinopteri; Labriformes; Labridae. The record is from RefSeq and is a predicted model, not a curated record.